Molecule: unclassified non-coding RNA, 283 nt
Filed under: fungal sp.
Lineage: Eukaryota; Fungi
Description: partial internal transcribed spacer region
Rfam family: Eukaryotic small subunit ribosomal RNA (bases 1-46)
Source: RNAcentral
AAGUCGUAACAAGGUCUCCGUUGGUGAACCAGCGGAGGGAUCAUUACCGAGUCACGUGCUCAAACAACCCUUCUGUGGACCUGAAAUAAAACCGUUGCCUCGGCGGGCGGUCCCCCCAACCAAACCCCACGUGGGUGGGUUAGGGGACCAGACAGUCCGGCACGCUUAAGGCGUCCGGCGCCAGCCGCUGGCCCCAAACAAUUAAACUCUAGUAACCUUUACCUUCUGAGUUUUAAUAUUUAAAAAUAAGUCAAAACUUUCAACAACGGAUCUCUUGGCUCUG